This is a non-coding RNA of Triticum aestivum (bread wheat), 125 nucleotides long. Lineage: Eukaryota; Viridiplantae; Streptophyta; Magnoliopsida; Poales; Poaceae. The record is from Rfam.
AUGUUACUCCCUCGGUCCGGGAAUACUUGUCCUUGAAAUGGUUGUAUCUAGAGUUAUUUUAGUUAUAGAUACAUCCAUUUUAUCCAUUUCUAGGACAAGUAUUUCCGGACGGAGGGGAGUAGGAC